AUUGAACGCUGGCGGCAGGCCUAACACAUGCAAGUCGAGCGGAUGAAGGGAGCUUGCUCCUGGAUUCAGCGGCGGACGGGUGAGUAAUGCCUAGGAAUCUGCCUGGUAGUGGGGGAUAACGUCCGGAAACGGGCGCUAAUACCGCAUACGUCCUGAGGGAGAAAGUGGGGGAUCUUCGGACCUCACGCUAUCAGAUGAGCCUAGGUCGGAUUAGCUAGUUGGUGGGGUAAAGGCCUACCAAGGCGACGAUCCGUAACUGGUCUGAGAGGAUGAUCAGUCACACUGGAACUGAGACGCGGUCCAGACUCAUAAGGGAGGCAGCAGUGGGGAAUAUUGGACAAUGGGCGAAAGCCUGAUCCAGCCAUGCCGCGUGUGUGAAGAAGGUCUUCGGAUUGUAAAGCACUUUAAGUUGGGAGGAAGGGCAGUAAGUUAAUACCUUGCUGUUUUGACGUUACCAACAGAAUAAGCACCGGCUAACUUCGUG
Molecule: ribosomal RNA, 484 nt
Filed under: uncultured bacterium
Lineage: Bacteria
Description: partial 16S ribosomal RNA
Rfam family: Bacterial small subunit ribosomal RNA
Source: RNAcentral